This 1492-nucleotide ribosomal RNA is filed under the name Lactobacillus sp. NBRC 107254. RNAcentral's name for it is "bacterial SSU rRNA". It matches the Rfam family "Bacterial small subunit ribosomal RNA". Lineage: Bacteria; Bacillati; Bacillota; Bacilli; Lactobacillales; Lactobacillaceae. The record is from RNAcentral.
GACGAACGCUGGCGGCGUGCCUAAUACAUGCAAGUCGAACGAACUCUGGUAUUGAUUGNUGCUUGCAUCAUGAUUUACAUUUGAGUGAGUGGCGAACUGGUGAGUAACACGUGGGAAACCUGCCCAGAAGCGGGGGAUAACACCUGGAAACAGAUGCUAAUACCGCAUAACAACUUGGACCGCAUGGUCCGAGUUUGAAAGAUGGCUUCGGCUAUCACUUUUGGAUGGUCCCGCGGCGUAUUAGCUAGAUGGUGGGGUAACGGCUCACCAUGGCAAUGAUACGUAGCCGACCUGAGAGGGUAAUCGGCCACAUUGGGACUGAGACACGGCCCAAACUCCUACGGGAGGCAGCAGUAGGGAAUCUUCCACAAUGGACGAAAGUCUGAUGGAGCAACGCCGCGUGAGUGAAGAAGGGUUUCGGCUCGUAAAACUCUGUUGUUAAAGAAGAACAUAUCUGAGAGUAACUGUUCAGGUAUUGACGGUAUUUAACCAGAAAGCCACGGCUAACUACGUGCCAGCAGCCGCGGUAAUACGUAGGUGGCAAGCGUUGUCCGGAUUUAUUGGGCGUAAAGCGAGCGCAGGCGGUUUUUUAAGUCUGAUGUGAAAGCCUUCGGCUCAACCGAAGAAGUGCAUCGGAAACUGGGAAACUUGAGUGCAGAAGAGGACAGUGGAACUCCAUGUGUAGCGGUGAAAUGCGUAGAUAUAUGGAAGAACACCAGUGGCGAAGGCGGCUGUCUGGUCUGUAACUGACGCUGAGGCUCGAAAGUAUGGGUAGCAAACAGGAUUAGAUACCCUGGUAGUCCAUACCGUAAACGAUGAAUGCUAAGUGUUGGAGGGUUUCCGCCCUUCAGUGCUGCAGCUAACGCAUUAAGCAUUCCGCCUGGGGAGUACGGCCGCAAGGCUGAAACUCAAAGGAAUUGACGGGGGCCCGCACAAGCGGUGGAGCAUGUGGUUUAAUUCGAAGCUACGCGAAGAACCUUACCAGGUCUUGACAUACUAUGCAAAUCUAAGAGAUUAGACGUUCCCUUCGGGGACAUGGAUACAGGUGGUGCAUGGUUGUCGUCAGCUCGUGUCGUGAGAUGUUGGGUUAAGUCCCGCAACGAGCGCAACCCUUAUUAUCAGUUGCCAGCAUUAAGUUGGGCACUCUGGUGAGACUGCCGGUGACAAACCGGAGGAAGGUGGGGAUGACGUCAAAUCAUCAUGCCCCUUAUGACCUGGGCUACACACGUGCUACAAUGGAUGGUACAACGAGUUGCGAACUCGCGAGAGUAAGCUAAUCUCUUAAAGCCAUUCUCAGUUCGGAUUGUAGGCUGCAACUCGCCUACAUGAAGUCGGAAUCGCUAGUAAUCGCGGAUCAGCAUGCCGCGGUGAAUACGUUCCCGGGCCUUGUACACACCGCCCGUCACACCAUGAGAGUUUGUAACACCCAAAGUCGGUGGGGUAACCUUUUAGGAACCAGCCGCCUAAGGUGGGACAGAUGAUUAGGGUGAAG